UGCCAGCCGCCGCGGUAAUACGAAGGGACCUAGCGUAGUUCGGAAUUACUGGGCUUAAAGAGUUCGUAGGUGGUUGAAAAAGUUGGUGGUGAAAUCCCAGAGCUUAACUCUGGAACUGCCAUCAAAACUUUUCAGCUAGAGUUUGAUAGAGCAAAGCAGAAUUUCUAGUGUAGAGGUGAAAUUCGUAGAUAUUACACAGAAUACCGAUUGCGAAAGCAGGUUACUAACAAUUAACUGACGCUGAGGGACGAAAGCGUGGGUAGCGAACCGGAUUAGAUA
RNAcentral lists this ribosomal RNA (279 nucleotides) under uncultured bacterium. Its description in RNAcentral is "partial 16S ribosomal RNA". It matches the Rfam family "Bacterial small subunit ribosomal RNA", at positions 506 to 784 of the family's 1533-position model. The record is from RNAcentral.